UACGGAGGGUGCAAGCGUUGUUCGGAAUUACUGGGCGUAAAGCGCCUGUAGGUGGUUCAAGUAGUUGGGUGUGAAAUCCCCGGGCUCAACCCGGGAACUGCGCCCAAAACCAUUGAACUAGAGUGCUAGAAGGGUACGUGGAAUUCCCAGUGUAGCAGUGAAAUGCGUAGAUAUUGGGAGGAACACCGGUGGCAAAGGCUAUGUACUGGCUAGCAACUGACACUAAGAGGCGAAAGCAUGGGUAGCAAACAGG
Molecule: ribosomal RNA, 253 nt
Filed under: uncultured bacterium
Lineage: Bacteria
Description: partial 16S ribosomal RNA
Rfam family: Bacterial small subunit ribosomal RNA
Source: RNAcentral